UCCUCAUGGUCCUGCUUCACUCUUAGCAGAUGCAAAUGUGCAUACAGGAACACAUACACACACACACACACCACACACAUGCUCACACACACGCUCACACACACACACACGCUCACACACACACACGCUCACACACACACGCUCACACACAUGCUCACACCACCCUACAGACACCUGGGAAGCAGGCCUAUGCAAGCACACCUGUGGCUCCCUCAGGCCGCAGGGAGCAGGUGCCCAACUCUACACAAGUUCAUGGUUUCCCUGGUGUCUUCGCUGGGCCUUCUAUCUGCCCUGCUCUUCCCUCAACACCUCCUGUGGGGCUUAUAGCGUCCCUGAGCUCCAGGCUCAGCCUAAGGGCUGGGAUGUGAGACAAGGCAGCAAGAAGCAGAGAAAAGAAGGACAGAAAGGAGGAGAGGAAGAGGAAGGAGAUCAAAGCUGGGGCGGCCACGAUCUCUAUACCUUAUUCCC
Molecule: long non-coding RNA, 468 nt
Filed under: Rattus norvegicus (Norway rat)
Lineage: Eukaryota; Metazoa; Chordata; Mammalia; Rodentia; Muridae
Description: long non-coding RNA NONRATT013584
Source: RNAcentral